CGGAGGUGGCGAGCGUUACUCGGAAUCAUUGGGUGUAAAGGGCAGGUAGGCGGUCUGUUAAGUGAGGGGUGAAAUCUCCCGGCUCAAUCGGGAAACUGCCUUUCAAACUGGCAGACUUGAGUGUGAUAGGGGGAGGCGGAAUUAGCAGUGUAAGGGUGAAAUCUGUAGAUAUUGCUAAGAACACCAGCGGCGAAGGCGGCCUCCUGGAUCACAACUGACGCUGAUCUGCGAAAGCUAGGGGAGCAAACAGAAUUAGAUACUCUGGUAGUCCUAGCCGUAAACGAUGAGUACUAGGUGUUGGGCCGUAAGGCUCAGUGCCGCAGCUAACGCAUUAAGUACUCCACCUGAGGACUACGACGCAAGGUUA
Molecule: ribosomal RNA, 367 nt
Filed under: uncultured organism
Description: bacterial SSU rRNA
Rfam family: Bacterial small subunit ribosomal RNA
Source: RNAcentral